ACUCCUACGGGAGGCAGCAGUGGGGAAUAUUGCACAAUGGGCGCAAGCCUGAUGGAGCAACACCGCGUGAGUGAAGAAGGGUUUCGGCUCGUAAAGCUCUGUUGUUAAAGAAGAACACGUAUGAGAGUAACUGUUCAUACGUUGACGGUAUUUAACCAGAAAGUCACGGCUAACUACGUGCCAGCAGCCGCGGUAAUACGUAGGUGGCAAGCGUUAUCCGGAUUUAUUGGGCGUAAAGAGAGUGCAGGCGGUUUUCUAAGUCUGAUGUGAAAGCCUUCGGCUUAACCGGAGAAGUGCAUCGGAAACUGGAUAACUUGAGUGCAGAAGAGGGUAGUGGAACUCCAUGUGUAGCGGUGGAAUGCGUAGAUAUAUGGAAGAACACCAGUGGCGAAGGCGGCUACCUGGUCUGCAACUGACGCUGAGACUCGAAAGCAUGGGUAGCGAACAGGAUUAGAUACCCU
RNAcentral lists this ribosomal RNA (461 nucleotides) under uncultured bacterium. Its description in RNAcentral is "bacterial SSU rRNA". It matches the Rfam family "Bacterial small subunit ribosomal RNA", at positions 335 to 788 of the family's 1533-position model. The record is from RNAcentral.